UAAUUUUGCACCCGUCUUACAAAAGUUGUAUGACAUACAUAAAAAUCAUUUAAAACAAUAUUGGAAUG
RNAcentral lists this non-coding RNA (68 nucleotides) under Flavobacterium sp. F52. Its description in RNAcentral is "S15-Flavobacteria ribosomal protein leader". It matches the Rfam family "S15-Flavobacteria ribosomal protein leader". Lineage: Bacteria; Pseudomonadati; Bacteroidota; Flavobacteriia; Flavobacteriales; Flavobacteriaceae. The record is from RNAcentral.